UCCAGGCUCCAGUUUGAAUGAACUUCGCCUCCCAAGAUCCUAAUUCCUUCUUCUUAUCUCAACUCGAGAAAGUGAAGAGGCAUCAGUUGCGGAGAGACGUUCCGAUUAGACGGUUUGAGGCAUCUCCCUUUUGUCGUAAGUUUCGCCUCUGCUUGAGAAUACGAAGAAUUUAGGUAAUAAGAGUCACCUGAAUAUGCAGUCUUUCAUCCAGUCAAAUAAGAUUCUCUCAAGAGUGAUGGAGCACAUACGGGUAUCCUGCUCAAGUGACCAGGGGCCGCCCGAGCCAGAUUCUCCAACUCCAAGCGGUUCAGACCAGCAACCGAGAGCCGGGGGAGAUCGAGGCCGCUACUUUAAUGAAAGAUGAAACUGCUGUGAUAGUGGCUUCCAUGAGAGGCGGGCAUCAUUGCUUAGCCGCUGACAGAAGCGAGUGCGCAUUCGUCAAGUUUUUCCUUGUUUCUGUUGUUAAAGUAUUUAAAUGUCAUUCGUCAGGGAUCUCAAAGAACAACGUGUUCUGUUUUUUAUAUCUUCCACAUUAUUUCCUGGUGAUAGUUAAGCAAUGGAUUCUACAAGAUCACUUUUAAUACUUACGGGCAAGGUGCUGGCAAAAUAUGCCAUUAUUCACUUACAUUAUUGCUUUUGUAUACCGUUAUCUUACAUUAUUUAUAUUAUUGUUACUGCUAUUAUUUGACCACAACUCUCGGUAAAAUGUGUGCUUUUAAAUAUUAAACAUAAAUAAUUAAACAUUCAAAUGUAAAUCCAAUGUUUUUAUGUUCAGCAAUGUUAUUAUAUACUAAGUUAUAGUUGUUAACGUUGUGGCAUAUCAUAGAAAAAUGAGACAAUAAUCUCAGAUGUCUUAUUUAAAAAAUGGUUUCUAAAUGAAAAGUUAUUUUUAUAUUAAA
Macrobrachium nipponense is the source of this 899-nucleotide long non-coding RNA. RefSeq lists it as uncharacterized. NCBI's taxonomy places the organism in Eukaryota, Metazoa, Arthropoda, Malacostraca, Decapoda, Palaemonidae. The transcript is spliced from 2 exons. The record is from RefSeq and is a predicted model, not a curated record.